CUUGAUUUAGAACAUUCACUUUAUUGGCAUAUCAAAAGAAUGCUUUGGGUUACACAGACAUGAAACAGCCAAGAAUAAAACUGGUCUGUUUCAUCCAUAGCUCAUUAAGAAACAGAUGUCUUCAUCACCUAACUGCAUAAGGAGUCCAAUGUAUAAUAUAUACAAACUUAACAACUUGUACAUUCUAGUCUUUUGGUUGAUACAACUGUUUAUUGCUGUCCAUAAUACAUGUACCAGUGAUUACAGAUUUCAACCAAAACCUCACUUCAUAGUUGAGACAUUCAUAGUUCAAAGAGUUGUAUAAAUAAUACUUCAAAUAAAAUGUGUCAAUGAAAUAAAAGAUUGCACUAGUGGUUUGUUAGACAAUAUUUACUCUCCCAAUAUACAAAAUAAAACUGAACAAUGUAAGAAAGCUUUAAAAAAUAUGAACAUUUAAUAUGCAAAAUCAAAGCCAUUGCAAUGAUGCAAUCAAACUUAUGACCACAUCUCUUCUCUUGGACUAACAACUUCUCAAAUUCUUUGCAUUCUGUAUGACUAGCAUGACAGCAAUAAGAUAAUGUAAGGUAUGAACAAAUAUACCAAGGCGAACUCAAAAGAAACAACCAAAUUUUAUGGAUUUGAUAAGAAAAAAAGCAAAGUCUUCAGAAAAUCAGUGACCAAUGUAUUUCAGUGUUAAAUAACCAUCAAUCAAUCAACACUGUUUCAUUUUCAAUUAAAAAAAAAAAUGAAACACUGUUUCAUUUUCAAUUAAAA
Non-coding RNA from Biomphalaria pfeifferi, 753 nucleotides. NCBI's taxonomy places the organism in Eukaryota, Metazoa, Mollusca, Gastropoda, Planorbidae. The record is from the annotation of a GenBank genome assembly.